CACCAGACCCCCCAAAUCUCUCCUCCAUCCCCUUUCUUUCUCUCUCCCGACGCAUCUCGCCGGUCGCGCAGCUCCGGCCCCUCUGCCUCACGCCCAGGAACCACAUCGCUCCACGAACCACGACACCAUGCCGGCGUGUGCGUGCAUCGGUUGUAUGUGCGCGGCGAUCCGUCAAGCUUGCCUGCCCGCAUGUUGGCCGGCGGAGGGGGGAGCCGACCAGGGUCCUACGCUGCUGACCGUCCCGGUUUUCUUCGCCGAUCUAGAUCCCAGCCCCCCGCGCACGCGACCACUGUCGUGAGGAGGCCGAGGCCGACAAGGCAGGGUCUCACCCACCAUCGUGACCUUCACAUCCAAAGUGUUCUCUUGUGGAGGAGCAGGGGUCGUGCUGGGAAGGAUAGCGCUGAGGAGAAGCCCCUCCAGUGAUUUCAUGGGUUGCGGUUCGGCCGAUGAGUUGGUAGAGCAGGAGCAGGGGUUCGGGGGUGCCCUCCGCACCGACAUUGUUAGCAUCCUCUCCCCCCCCUAUGGAUGUGCUUGCUCACUCACUGUAGUCAGUUUAGUCGGACUGUAAAGAACUUGUAGCUGGAGUAUAAUUUGAAAAUUUCAUUCUGCUCUAGCUUUACAUCAAAUUUAUCUUGUGGACAGAGAAAAUGCCAUGCUGCUCUAGUAGAUGAUGCAACAAUAUGAAAAAUAAGGAAUCUGCAGGAAAAGGAACAACCUUUUCUCUUUACCCCUACUUUUCUACAUACAUUAUUUGUAAACUUGCUUAUUAUUGUUUCACUAAUUAUUGCUCUUGCCCUGCUCUCCUAGUUGUUAUAGGCAGCAAGAUGUCCAUGCAACUGAGAUUGCAAACCUAAAAGUAUAAAGCUCUCUCUUGGUGAUGCAAGGGCACAUUAACUUUCAAAUGAUAAGAAUGAACUGGGGGUUGUUUCUGCCCAAAGUAUAGCUGCUGAUCCGUAGGCUGAGGAGGAAGAAGAUGGUUCUGCACUUGAAGAUCUAGAGGCAAGAGGAGGAAGAAGAUGGCGCAACACUUGAUACGGAGGCGGAGGAGUAAGAAGAUGAGGCAUCCAUCACUAGUGCGGAGGAGACGGGAGCGGAGUCGUUGUCGCGUGUUUUGGAUCUUGCUCAGAGGCAGAGGAUGAAUCGAGGCGCUGGGGAGGAGCUGGCCUUGCUCGGAGAAGAGGCUCUUCCUCCGGCAGGCAAGUUGCUGGCUUGCUGCUGAGGGCAAUCUGGAGCGAGCUGGAGCUGCUGCUGAGGGCGAUCUAGAGCUGUUGCUGACUGCUGAGGGCAACCUCGGGAGACAAUCUGAGAGGCGACCGAAGCGAGAGGUGCAAGGCGAGCGAUCUGGAGAUAUGCGAGGCGAGCGAUCUGAAGGGUGUAUGGAGCGGCUGAUGGGCCAAGGCCCAAAGCAUACCUAGUUUUCUUUUUUUAUUUUUAUUUGGCACUACCCAAUGAACCGGACGUACGGGAAACAGAACGAAACGUAUAAAAAAGACGUGAUGGACGAAAAAAGGUGGAGAAACAAUCCUCCCUUUAAUAUUAGGUAGAGAUAAGGACCCAUGUUUAGUUUGCUAGCUGCUGCCUUUCUUUACCAAACUCUAGUGAAUUGUGCUAUCUACUUUUACCAUGCAAUCUUCUGUUAUAGUGUAUAUGUUCUAUAUGUCGUGCAA
Triticum aestivum (bread wheat) is the source of this 1667-nucleotide long non-coding RNA. RefSeq lists it as uncharacterized. The transcript has 3 exons. The record is from RefSeq and is a predicted model, not a curated record. Lineage: Eukaryota; Viridiplantae; Streptophyta; Magnoliopsida; Poales; Poaceae.